Molecule: long non-coding RNA, 465 nt
Filed under: Ananas comosus (pineapple)
Lineage: Eukaryota; Viridiplantae; Streptophyta; Magnoliopsida; Poales; Bromeliaceae
Description: long non-coding RNA (ACOM_LNC003468)
Source: RNAcentral
AUUUUGUGACCCUUUUAUCGUUCAGUUAGUGAUGCCAAAAAAUUAUUAAAUUUGAUUUCUAGAUAAUUUAAAUGGUCUAGAUCAUAUUCAACGGUGCCGAUCGUCGGUUUGGAAGCUCUAUCAUCAAAAAUAAAUUGGUAGUAAACCGAGCAGUUUACUACCGAUAGUAGCCCAGUCAAACUCUAUAUAUAGAACUAGACUGGAAUACUAUUAAUAGCACCAAUGACUUAGUGCUAUUAAGUUUUCUGCCCUUGGAUGAAAAGAUGUGUGGUUAGAAUGAUGUGGGCUCUCUAGGGUUGAGUGGGUGGUCGGUUGAAUAGUAUAAUCGAACGGACAAAAAUAAUAAAAGAGGUAUAUAUAUAUAUAUAUAUGUGUGUGUGUGUGUGUGUGUGUGUGUGUGUGUGUGUGUGUGAUAUUUUUCUAAAGGUCAAUAGACAGCUACAGAUAGUGUGAGACUAUAACUGU